RNAcentral lists this ribosomal RNA (311 nucleotides) under uncultured bacterium. RNAcentral's name for it is "bacterial LSU rRNA". It matches the Rfam family "Bacterial large subunit ribosomal RNA", at positions 115 to 480 of the family's 2925-position model. The record is from RNAcentral.
CGAAUGGGGAAACCCACCACUUUAUGUGGUACUUUAAACUGAAUACAUAGGUUUAAAGAGACAACCUGGAGAACUGAAACAUCUAAGUAACCAGAGGAAAAGAAAUCAAUUGAGAUUCCGUUAGUAGUGGCGAGCGAACGCGGAGUAGGCCAGUAGUUUUGUUAGAAAAAUUUGAAUAGUUUGGAAAUGCUAACCAUAGAGGGUGAUAGUCCCGUAUGAGUAAUGUUUAACAAAAUUCUUGAGUAAAGCGGGACACGAGAAAUCCUGCUCGAAUAUAGGGGGACCACCCUCUAAGCCUAAAUACUCUUCAG